AACGUAGGGGGCGAGCGUUGUCCGGAUUUAUUGGGCGUAAAGCGAGCGCAGGUGGUUUAAUAAGUCUGAUGUAAAAGGCAGUGGCUCAACCAUUGUGUGCAUUGGAAACUGUUAGACUUGAGUGCAGUAGAGGAGAGUGGAAUUCCAUGUGUAGCGGUGAAAUGCGUAGAUAUCGGGAGGAACACCAGUGGCGAAGGCGACUUUCUGGUCUGUAACUGACACUGAGGCGCGAAAGCGUGGGGAGCAAACAGG
RNAcentral lists this ribosomal RNA (252 nucleotides) under uncultured microorganism. RNAcentral describes it as "partial 16S ribosomal RNA". It matches the Rfam family "Bacterial small subunit ribosomal RNA", at positions 524 to 776 of the family's 1533-position model. The record is from RNAcentral.